GGGUAGCCGGCCUGAGAGGGCGACCGGCCACACUGGGACUGAGACACGGCCCAGACUCCUACGGGAGGCAGCAGUGGGGAAUAUUGCACAAUGGGCGAAAGCCUGAUGCAGCGACGCCGCGUGAGGGAUGACGGCCUUCGGGUUGUAAACCUCUUUCAGUAGGGAAGAAGCGCAAGUGACGGUACCUACAGAAGAAGCACCGGCUAACUACGUGCCAGCAGCCGCGGUAAUACGUAGGGUGCGAGCGUUGUCCGGAAUUAUUGGGCGUAAAGAGCUCGUAGGCGGCUUGUCACGUCGGAUGUGAAAGCCCGGGGCUUAACCCCGGGUCUGCAUUCGAUACGGGCAGGCUAGAGUUCGGUAGGGGAGAUCGGAAUUCCUGGUGUAGCGGUGAAAUGCGCAGAUAUCAGGAGGAACACCGGUGGCGAAGGCGGAUCUCUGGGCCGAUACUGACGCUGAGGAGCGAAAGCGUGGGGAGCGAACAGGAUUAGAUACCCUGGUAGUCCACGCCGUAAACGUUGGGAACUAGGUGUGGGCGACAUUCCACGUUGUCCGUGCCGCAGCUAACGCAUUAAGUUCCCCGCCUGGGGG
RNAcentral lists this ribosomal RNA (588 nucleotides) under Streptomyces sp. Its description in RNAcentral is "bacterial SSU rRNA". It matches the Rfam family "Bacterial small subunit ribosomal RNA", at positions 281 to 879 of the family's 1533-position model. The record is from RNAcentral. Lineage: Bacteria; Bacillati; Actinomycetota; Actinomycetes; Kitasatosporales; Streptomycetaceae.